Molecule: long non-coding RNA, 1430 nt
Filed under: Carassius auratus (goldfish)
Lineage: Eukaryota; Metazoa; Chordata; Actinopteri; Cypriniformes; Cyprinidae
Description: lncRNA (ENSCARG00000010650.1)
Source: RNAcentral
UUGAAAGGCCAAACAAAGUAGUUUUGCUUUCACAACUUAACACACAGCAUCUUCACAACAUGGCAGCGACGGCAACAAUACUACAGUGAGAAUCAAAGUUACGCCUUAUUUCUUUGCUUAAACGGCGGUGUUAUGCAAAUCUUCCCUCAUAAUGAUGUAGACGUGUGGGCGUGUUUGAACGAGGUGUUUUAGGAGGGCGUGAACGAGUCUUAACUUUUAUAAAGAGAAUAUAUCUUUAUAUUAUUAUUUUUUUGCAGGUAAAAAAAAAAUGUAAUGCAGGAUUUUUUCAAGAUUUUUAGAGAAGUAACAGCAUUUGUUUUAAAUAAAAAUGUUCUGAAACAAUGUAGAAAUGUUUACUGACACUUUUUAUUAAUUCAAUGAAUCUUUGAUUUCAAUGAAGCAUUGGUUUCUUAAAAAUUCAUCUUACUGACCCCAACGUUAUAUAAAACCUAUGUAAUAGUUUUACAUUAAAGUACAUAUAAAAAAUUAUGUUGAUUUCUUUCAUUGUUCUGAAAUGUGUUAAUAUGCGAUUCAUAAUGCAUAUAUUCCGUUUUUUUAAUACAUAUAUCUAGGAAAGAGAAAAAGGAUGAAUUCCUAACCAAUAGUGACAAAGAGAAGCAGAGACAAGAUAACACUAACAGAAAGAGAAUGCAAGAGAAGAAAGCGCUGGUUAUGUGAGCGAGCGCUCCGGAGGCAGAGUGAGCGACACUGCCCUGUUCGGUGACAGCACUCGCUGUGGGGCUUCUGUCCCCUCAGACAUUCAGGGGUGAAGGAAAGAGCGGCGAGGGGAAGGGGAGGAAUCACUCCAGGGGUGGCAGCGCUAGAGGAGGGGCGGCGAGGAGCAGUCAUUCCCAUGUGGCUCAGGCCCAUCAGCACAGUCAAAUCAUAAACCGUGAAGCCUUGAAGAGCGUGACUCCAUCCUAACAAUAAUCCUGGAGAUUCUACAGCACAUACUGUGGCUGAUAAGGCCAAUUAGAGCUCAUUUCUACCCAGACCUCGGUGUCAUCCCCUGUUAUUGAACGCUACAGCAGCAGGUGACGAGGUGAGUAAUAUCAGGCAGCUGUAAGCCACCAGGGAGGGGGUCUCGCACAAUUUCUCCCCCCAGAGAGUCGACCCGCUCCCCUAAGCCGCGCCGCAGGCUAUGUUAAAUGUCAGACAUCUCCACAGUAGAAGCCUUAAUAUCAGACAGCGGGACCGGGACAAAAGAUCAACUUGGAGUGCUAUGAAAGGAUAAUAACUAUUGUAGCUAAAAAAGCUUGCUUUUCUGUUCUAAUGAGACGGAGAGCACAGCUUUAAAGCUCACGGUUAAGGCCUAAUUAAUCAUUCUUCGUGGCAGUCUCCUGCGGAUAUCCAUUAGAGUUUUAUUUCAGAAGCCACCAUGCCUUCAAUGGCUCUCCAAUUGUUUUGGAGGGUUUUAUAUUAACCUGAGU